Molecule: ribosomal RNA, 468 nt
Filed under: Xanthomonas sp. oral taxon 037
Lineage: Bacteria; Pseudomonadati; Pseudomonadota; Gammaproteobacteria; Lysobacterales; Lysobacteraceae
Description: bacterial SSU rRNA
Rfam family: Bacterial small subunit ribosomal RNA
Source: RNAcentral
AGUGAACGCUGGCGGUAGGCCUAACACAUGCAAGUCGAACGGCAGCACAGGAGAGCUUGCUCUCUGGGUGGCGAGUGGCGGACGGGUGAGGAAUGCAUCGGAAUCUACUCUUUCGUGGGGGAUAACGUAGGGAAACUUACGCUAAUACCGCAUACGACCUACGGGUGAAAGCCGGGGACCUUCGGGCCUGGCGCGAAAGAAUGAGCCGAUGCCCGAUUAGCUAGUUGGCGGGGUAAGAGCCCACCAAGGCGACGAUCGGUAGCUGGUCUGAGAGGAUGAUCAGCCACACUGGAACUGAGACACGGUCCAGACUCCUACGGGAGGCAGCAGUGGGGAAUAUUGGACAAUGGGCGCAAGCCUGAUCCAGCCAUACCGCGUGGGUGAAGAAGGCCUUCGGGUUGUAAAGCCCUUUUGUUGGGAAAGAAAAGCAGUCGGUUAAUACCCGAUUGUUCUGACGGUACCCAAAGA